UUCUGGUGGAAUCUGUGUUACCUGAGGUUUUCUCUUCGAAAAACGACUUAAUCGUUGCUGACUUGACAAUUGAAGAUGCCAGACUCUUGUGCAGCCUAUGGAUGCGCUAAUCGGCGUUGUCUCGAAAUGAGAACCAGUGGGAUCACCUUUCACAAGUUUCCCAAAACCGGAGAGAGGAGGCGUAUGUGGGAACUUGCCCUAAGAAGGGGCGGUUUUGCUGCCUCUGACAGGACCGUGCUCUGCAGUGACCACUUCAGGAGUGAGGACUUCGACAGA
Molecule: long non-coding RNA, 276 nt
Organism: Scomber scombrus (Atlantic mackerel)
Lineage: Eukaryota; Metazoa; Chordata; Actinopteri; Scombriformes; Scombridae
Exons: 3
Source: RefSeq, a predicted model, not a curated record